RNAcentral lists this long non-coding RNA (7024 nucleotides) under Heterocephalus glaber (naked mole-rat). Its description in RNAcentral is "lncRNA (ENSHGLG00000047253.1)". Lineage: Eukaryota; Metazoa; Chordata; Mammalia; Rodentia; Bathyergidae. The record is from RNAcentral.
CAAGGUGUUUUGCAUUUUGCUUUUAACUGAUGGUUACAUUAUAUGAAGUGGGUUUUUUUCAGUCUGAGAAAUAUUUCUACCAGGGAAUGUGUACCAUGAAAAAUAUUCUUUUUAGGGUUAAUCACAGUUUCCAUUCUAAACACAUAGGUACUAUGGAGACAAUUUGGAAAUUGAUGAGUACAAAAAAGGGAGCAGCAUUGCCAAAGCCGAAUUCUGGUCAAAAUAACAUUUCUUUAGCACCUGCUGCACAGAGAUGCUGUGCAGAUAAUAUUCUCUUAACCUUUAGGAAGCAUUCUCAAAGAGGCAGCUCUCCCUUGGAUAAAUAUUAACCAAGAUGGAGAAGGACACUAUUCAAGUCUGAAAGAAAAUAUAGAGAAAAAUGGGGUAGAGAAUAAGUCAGAUUUACUGUUUAUAUUUUCUAAAAAGAAACUUAUUUAAAAAGAUUUUAUCAAUAAUGCAGUGAUAAAAGUUUGUAAUAUUUGCUUUUCCCUUCUAAUCUUAUCUUUCUACACCUUUACAUAUUCUCAUACAUAUUGCAUAUUGAGUAUGCAUGAACAAAGGCCUUCAUAAUCUAGCCAAAUACUAUAGUGUUUGCUUUCUAGUUUUAUGCUAACAAUCUCUGUGCAUAUAUGUGAAAGAACCAUAGUUAUUGCUAAUAGUUCCUUAUAGUAUGACAGACUGUUAGAUCAUUUUCAUGUAAUCUAUAGUGCUAGACCUAGAGAUUUUUGUCAUGUUUUUCCUAUUUGUUAAUGUUGCAUAAUUAACAUAGUCUAUAAUAAUUUUUUUCCUUUGAUGUUUCCCCGUUGGCUAAAUUUCUGGAAUGGUUACACGGGGUCUGAGGUAUUCUUUUGUAGACUUUGUCCAUUUCAACUGCUGAAAUGCCCUGUUUGUUGCUUUUUUUUUUUGGUACCAGUCCUUGCGCUUGCGCAGCAGGCAGCAAAACCACUGAGCUAAAUCCCCAGCCCUGAAAUGCCCUGUUUAUCCAGCCUCUGCCAGUUGCCAUCUGAGCUAUUAUUAAUGCGACAUCAUGUCCUUCCUGUUUUGUUUUUUCCUCAGUGUGCAUUUGCAUGUGUGUAGGACUGUAGAGCUGCUUCUCAUGGUGCUGUUUCAAGUCCUGAGACAACACCUGAGAUCUGACACCGAACUUAAUUUCCCUCUUCUGCUCCUCUCAAGUUCUUCAAAGAUGUAUUAAAAGAUUCAGGUUUGGCCUCAAGGGAUGUUAGGCUUCCAGGUUUUGAGACUCCCAAGGACAUGGCACAAUUACCUGGGGGAAGCAUCUUUGUUGUCAACAACUGCUCUGAUCCUCUACUAGAGUAGGACCCAGGAUAUUGUUAUAUGGUCGACAGUGCACAGGGUUUUCUCCCACAACCAAGAGUUAUCUGAGCCAAAAUAUACAUACAGCUGAAUUUCAGGAAUUCUGUUGGAAAUUGAUCAAGAACUAAAAAGAGAGGGCAUUAACCACCAUUACAAGAAAUAGGGUAGCAGAUGUACCACUGAGAACACAAAAAAUAAAAAGCAAAAGAAGUUACCAAUAACAGCUUUGUGCCUUAAACUGAACAACUUAGACAAAAUGUGUAAAUCCUUGUACAAAAACCAGUAACCAGAGGUGCUCGCUCUAAGAUCUGAAAAUGUAUAUGCUCACUAAAGGAAGUGGAUCUUUAUCUAUAAAUUUUUUUUUGGUACUGGGGCUCAAACUUGGGACCUUGUGCUUGAGAGGCAGGUGGCAGAACCACUGAGGUAAAUCCCCUAUAAGUAUUUCAACAGUGAAAUUUAAUUACAACUAAAAUAUUUCCCUGGGGAAAUUGUAUAGAAAAUUGUUGGAAAAUACACAAAAUUGUAGAUAUGCGAGGUAAAUAUGUGUACAUAUACAAUAUCAACACAGUAAUAUUAUAUACUUGAAAUAAUUGCUGAUAGAUAUUAAAUGCCCUUACCACAAAAAUAUGUGUAAUGAUAGGUUAAUUGGCUUGACUAUAGUAAUGACUUUACUAUGUAUUUCAAAAAAUCAUGUUAAAUACCUUAAAUAUAUAUGUAUCAGAAAAAUACUAUAUAAAUGUUUACCCAUUGGUAAAGCUGAAUUACAUAACAACAAUAUAUAAGAGAAAAAUGUUUAUCAAUCACAGAUGACUUCAGUAGUAGAAUCAACUAAUAUUUGUAGAAGCAAAGAAAUUUUGAGCAAAGAAAAAGAGAAAGAAAGAAAUGGUCCUGUUCCUCAAGAAAGUAAAGUCGAAGAAAACACUUUCUCAAUUCAUAUUUUUUGGCCAUAUUACUAUUAUAAUAUAAAAACAAGAUAAAGGAAAGAAAAAUAUGGACCAAUCGCCCUUAUAAAAUAGAUGCAUAUAUAAUAAACAAUAUUGUAUUAUAUAGCAUAACGUUAUAUAUAGCACAUUACUUAAAGUAAUAGAAUAUUGAUCCUAUAAUAUAUAAAGACAUUAGUAUCUAGUAAUCUAACAGCAAUUCAUCAUAGGAAUACAAAGCUCAUUUGACAGUGAAAAAUCAAGACAUAUAACUCAACAAAUCAACAAAAAUAAGAAAUAUAUAAUCAUCUCAACAGAUGCAUAAAAAGCAUUUGAUAUAUUUCAAAACCAUUGUUCAUUUAAAAAUUCAGCGUUGUCAACAAGACAGCAAAACAGGAUGCCUUCAUCACUUGUGCCCCCAAAAGCACAAGCCUGGCAACGAUCCAUGGACUGAAGUGCACUUGGGGAGCUCUAAGAUCAAAGGCCAAAGGCAUGUUGGCAGUGCCCAAGCCUAAGGAAAGCUCCACUCAGAGGGCAGGUCAGCCCUGGGUGCACAGCCCUGAACACUGACCUAGCUCCAGACUCAUAAACAGUCCCACGUUUCUGUGGACUUGGCUCUGACCACUUGCUGUGGUCCUGGAGGAAAGCCAUGUAUCCAGGGACCUGGCUGGAGUUUUGCCUGUCUACAGGUGCGGUGCAGGACUGACUAUAGAUCCAACUGUGGACAAGGAGAUAAUCUAAUGAUGAGUCCAAGCCUGCUCCACCACAUUUCAGAGGCAGACCUGUCCAUCUGGGGACCUGACAGGUGAUGGCUAUCCAUCUGAGGAAACCAGCCUGCAAAUACCAACAAAAGGACUGGUUUUUCAAAUACAAGAUUCCAGUGUGAGGCAGCUCUCCACUAUUCACUAACAAAAUAAAGAACCAUGAACUGUUUGACAAAGAGUUCAAAUUGAUAAUCUUAAAGAAGGGCAAUGAACUACCAGGGAAUACAUAUAAGCAAGUAAAUAAAAUCUUCAUUGGACUGAAUCAUUUUGAAAUCAAACGUAGAAGAAUAUCAAGAAUAGCUGAGAUAAUUUAGAGCAAUAUAGUGGAUUCCUAAGACUUCAGUUGCUUGGCAACAGAAUACAUGUGAGUUUGUUUUACACCACAGUAGGGCCUCAACACCCUACCCACAAAGUUUCCAUUUCUUUUCUUACUUUCAGAUCUUCAGUAUGGUCAAUUCAGACCUCAGAUUUAUACAAGCAAAUCUUGGUGAGCACUUCCCUAUGGAACAGUGAGGUGCUACUUUUCGGAUUUGGCAAACCAAUCCCUACAUUGCACAUGGACUACACAAAUAUGCCAGCAGGACUCUCCCAGAUGAUGACUGUCUUAGUAGACAUAAGCUGGGGACAGACCAGAGAAGCGCUUCACGAGUGUCUUCCCUAUAACAAGGACACCUGGCCCUAGGGCAAACCCCUGAGCACUGGGCCACUCAACAGGAUAAAGAUUAACCCCAUGAAAGCUGCAUUGUAAAUCUGCACAACUAACUCUCUGGAGUCCAGUCAAGGGCAGAGCUUGAACUUAUAGCCAUUUUCAUGAAUGAUAUGCCAAGACUAAACCAGUGAGCAACACGUGUAAGAACAGAGCUGUAGGAAUCACAAUCCCUGACUUCAAAAUGUACUGCAGAGCUGCAGUAAUCAAGUGUAUCAUACUGGGAUAAAAACACACAUAUAGACUAAGGAAUCAGAAUAGAGACCCUGAAACCAGCUCAUGCAAACAGUCAAGUGUCUUCACAAAGUGUGGUAGAACACACGUGUGGACAUGAUUCAGUAACCACCAUUGCGAGGACCAUGCCUAUGUGGCUGAAGAGUGGGAUCAAGUCCUGCCUGACAUCGUAUACAGAAAGCAACACAAAAGGAAUUAAGAUUAAACACUGACCGUGAAACGAUCGAAGUUUUGGAAGAAAACAGGAAAUGCUUCUAGGCAUUAGACUAGAAAAUGAUAUUUUUGGAUAUAAUACUAAAACAAGCAAUAAGAGCAAAACACAGGAAGUAAUGUUUCUUCACAGCAAAGGAGACAACAAAAUGAAGACAUCUUAUGGAAUGGUUAAAAAUAUUUUCAUACCAUUUUAUCUGAUAAGAGUUUAAUAUGCAAAAUUUAUAAGACAUUCUUUUAAUUCAACAACAGAAUGAAUAACCCCCCAAAAAGAAAAGAGGACUUAAAUUGCCAUUUCUCCAAAGAAGACACACAAAAGGCCAUCAUGUACAUGCAAAGGUAUUCAGCAUCACUAAUCAUCUGGGAAAUACAAUUCAUAGUCACAGUAAGUCAUUACUUACACAUGCCAGGAUGAUGACUUAAAAAAAAAACACAGCAAGUGUUGGGGAGGACAUGGAGAGAAGGAAACUUAUCCUAUUGGCAGGAAUACAACUGGCAUAGUCACUAUGGAAAACACAACUGUCUCUGAAUGAAAGAUUAACAGUAAACAUUUCACCAGGCUAGAAAAGAGCUUUCCCACCUUGAAAAAUGUCAUCUAUAAAAAGUCUACAGCUACUGCAAUGCUUAAGGGAGAAAUAAUGGUGUCUCCUAAGACCAAGAAUGGCAUAGUUGGGUGCAUCUAGUUAACAAAAAUGUGUUGCUUAUGUUGUUUAUUUCAAAGUAGCUAAAAGAGAGGGUUUUGCAUGUGCUCAUUACAGAGAAGUUAUAAUAGCUGAAGGUGACAGCCAUGCUGAUUUUCCCGAUUUGAUCAUUACCUAAUAUACAGACAAAUCAAAAUAUCAUAUUGUACCUCAUACAUAUGCACAAUAAUUAUUUCAAUAAAAAUUUAAUUUAAAUAAAGAAAAAGAGAGGAUGUUAUGUAACCCCUUUUCAUAUAAUUUUUUUGGAAGUUACAGGCUACGUGCAAUAAGCCAAGAAAAAGAAAUAAAAGGCACAGAGGAGGAAUGAUUAAAACAUUUUUAUUGGAAAAAAUGUUUGAUCAUAUACACAGACAUUUUUAAAUCUUCAAAUUAACAGUUAUAGUAGCAGCUACUAGAACUAGUAAAUAAAUUUGUUAAGGUCACAAUACAUAUCUCCAAAAUAAAAAAAAAUGGAUAGUACUUCUAUAGACAAACAACAAUUUUUUAAAUAUUGUAAUAUGCUUUAUUUAUAACAUCCAAAGAAUGAAGUAAAUAAGUAUACAUUUAACAAAAUAUAUUCAACUCCAAGUGAAGAAGGCUAGAAGAAAUAAAGAUAGAAAGAAGACAAAGAAAAUUAUAAUUUUAAAAUCAUAUUUAAAACAACACUACACUUUACAGUUUUUUCUCCAGGCUAGUCAUUAUUAAAUUCCUAAGUCUUAAAAAAUAUUCAGGGGCUGUGCAUUUCUCCUUUCUCCUGUGCCUUCCAUCUGUGCAUGGGCCAUGGUCUGUUACCUGUCAACUGAGUCCCUGUUUUCUAUAAAUUCACAAAUUCCAUAGAUUUCUGUCCCCCAAACACAUAAAAUAUACCCAACUCCAGGGUAUAAGGUCUCCUGUCUGUCUGUCUCUCCCUCCCUCUCUCACUCCCUCCUUCCAUAUUCUAUUCUCUCUAAAGGGUGUACUUCAUUAUUUCUAUUAGACAUUUUUAUGCUUCUCACUGAUAUACCCUGGAAGUUCUCUUUGGAUGGUGACAGUUGGGGAGCCUAUAACUUAUUACAUGAGUUGGUGAGUUGAGGCCCCCAUUUUCUCUUUGGGGACUCUCGUUGGCUCCAUCUGGUAACCAGAAGCCAAAACCUAAAAUACAUUGGGAAAAGUAUAAACACCCAAAAAACAAGGAGAGAUAUAUCACAUUUGUUGAUUGAAAUAUUCAAAGUUGUUAUGAUAUUACUUAUUACCUAAUUGAGCUAUAGAUUUGUGACAAUCCUAACAUUAAUUCAAGAAGCUUUCUAGUAAAUAUUUACCUGCAAAGAGUCUUAACCAAAUCAUUCAAAAUAUUGAUAGACUAUCAGAUUUCAAAAUAUACGGUAAAGCCAUAGUAAACACAACAAUGUGGUAUUGAGAGUAGACACCUAGACCAACAGAAUCAAACAAAAACUCAAGAAAUAGACUCAUAAGUAUGCUCAGCUGAUUUUAAUAAUUAUCCAAUACAAUUUAACAGUAAAGGAAAGCUUUCUCAGUAACUGCUGAUUAAAUACGUGGAUAUCAAUAUUGGAAAAAUGGAAUAAACUUUUCAUGGUGUGUAAAAAAUUAACUUCAAAUAGACAUGAAAUGCUUGUAAAAGAAAAUGUAGGAGGAAAUUUUUUUGACUAUGGGAUAAGCAGAUAAACUAUAUAGAAGAAAAAAAUCGUAAGUAAUCAAAGAAAAAUAUUUAAUUAGGAUUUAUAAAAUUUGAAAUCUUAAGACUUUUGUUCUUUGAAUUUGUGUACAAGACAAAAACAGAAGAACCAGGUAAUGAAAAAAUAUAAACCCCACUGGUAUAUUACUAGGUAUUUAUCCAAAAUAAAUGAAACACAGAUACACACAAAUCUUCUACUUGCCUUUCCAGUUUCUUUAUUCUUUAUAGUCAAAAAAAUAGAAAACAAAUAUGCAACAAAAAGUGAAUACUAUAUAAAUCAGUAAACUAUUAUUUAUACAACACACGCCAUUCAGAUGGAAGGCACUCAGACUGAAUUCAGUGAUAAAACUGCAUAUCCUGCUUUUAAUACAGAAUGCCCCAUGGACCAAUUUGCACUACUGCAUAGUUAAUAAUAACAAAAGUCAGGCUGGGGAUUUAGCUCAGUGGUUCCGCCGCCUGCCUCACAAGCCCAAGGUCCCCAGUUCGAGCCCUGGUACCAAAAAAUAAAAUAAAAAAACAAUAAU